This 425-nucleotide ribosomal RNA is filed under the name uncultured bacterium. Its description in RNAcentral is "partial 16S ribosomal RNA". It matches the Rfam family "Bacterial small subunit ribosomal RNA", at positions 354 to 796 of the family's 1533-position model. The record is from RNAcentral.
GUGGGGAAUCUUGCGCAAUGGGCGAAAGCCUGACGCAGCCAUGCCGCGUGAAUGAUGAAGGUCUUAGGAUUGUAAAAUUCUUUCACCGGGGACGAUAAUGACGGUACCCGGAGAAGAAGCCCCGGCUAACUUCGUGCCAGCAGCCGCGGUAAUACGAAGGGGGCUAGCGUUGCUCGGAAUUACUGGGCGUAAAGGGCGCGUAGGCGGACAGUUUAGUCAGAGGUGAAAGCCCAGGGCUCAACCUUGGAAUUGCCUUUGAUACUGGCUGGCUUGAGUACGGGAGAGGUGAGUGGAACUCCGAGUGUAGAGGUGAAAUUCGUAGAUAUUCGGAAGAACACCAGUGGCGAAGGCGACUCACUGGCCCGUUACUGACGCUGAGGCGCGAAAGCGUGGGGAGCAAACAGGAUUAGAUACCCCUGUAGUCC